AAAAGUAAGUAAGGGCACAUGGCGGAUGCCUUGGCUCUCGGAGGCGAUGAAGGACGUGAUAAGCUGCGAUAAGCCGCGGGUAGGUGCAAAUGACCUUUGAUCCGCGGAUUUCCGAAUGGGACAACCCGAUAUCCUGAAGGGAUAUCAUCCCGCAAUGCGGGAGGCUAACGCAGGGAACUGAAACAUCUUAGUACCUGCAGGAAAAGAAAAUAAAUAAUGAUUCCCCCAGUAGUGGCGAGCGAACGGGGAACAGCCCAAACCAUCCAUGUUACGGCAUGUGUGGGGUUGUAGGACCACGUUGUGGCAAGAAAGUUGGUGAGCAGAAUGUUCUGGAAAGUACAGCCAUAGAGCAUGAUAGCUGCGUAUGCGAAGCCAACCGAAGCCUAGUGGUAUCCUGAGUAGCGCGGAGCACGAGGAAUUCUGCGUGAAUCUGCCGGGACCAUCCGGUAAGGCUAAAUACUCCCGAGAGACCGAUAGUGAACCAGUACUGUGAAGGAAAGGUGAAAAGCACUUCGAACAGAAGAGUGAAAUAGUUCCUGAAACCAUGUGCCUACAAGCGGUCGGAGCACUUUUAGUGUGACGGCGUGCCUUUUGCAUAAUGAACCUACGAGUUACUUUUUCCGGCGAGGUUAAGGAUCUCAGAUCCGCAGCCGAAGCGAAAGCGAGUCUGAACAGGGCGUAUAGUCGGAAGGAGUAGACGCGAAACCAAGUGAUCUACCCUUGGGCAGGUUGAAGGAUGGGUAACACCAUCUGGAGGACCGAACCAAUAAGCGUUGAAAAGCUUCUGGAUGACCUGAGGGUGGGGGUGAAAGGCUAAUCAAACUUGGAGAUAGCUCGUACUCCCCGAAAUGCAUUUAGGUGCAGCCUUGACUUAUACUGGCAUGAGGUAGAGCGACUGAUAAGAUGCGAGGGCUUCACCGCCUAUCAAGUCUUGACAAACUCCGAAUGCGUGUCAGUUCUAUGUCAGGAGUGAGGGCAUGGGUGCUAAGGUCCAUGUCCUAAAGGAGAACAAUCCGGACCAACAGCUAAGGUCCCGAAAUGAAUACUAAGUUGAACUAACGAAGUCAGAUUGCUAAGACAGCUAGGAUGUUGGCUUGGAAGCAGCCAUUCAUUUAAAGAGUGCGUAACAGCUCACUAGUCGAGGAGUUUGGCGUGGAUAAUAAUCGGGCAUAAGUAUUCUACCGAAGCUUUGGGAUGAGAAAUCAUCGGUAGGGGAGCAUUCCACUCAGCGUCGAAGGUAAGGCGUGAGCCUUGCUGGAGCGUGUGGAAAAGCAAAUGUAGGUAUAAGUAACGAUAAAGGGGGUGAGAAACCCCCUCGCCGAAAGACUAAGGUUUCCUGAUCAACGCUAAUCGGAUCAGGGUAAGUCGGGUCCUAAGGCUCAGCCGAACGGCGAGGCCGAUGGCAGAACCGGUUAAUAUUCCGGUACUACCUUAAGGAGUGACGUGGAGACGGAGUCGUGACAGCGCCGCGGACUGACGGAAUAGUCCGUUGAAGGGUGUAGAUGUUGAUUGUUCCAGGCAAAUCCGGAAUGAGAGUCGAACCUGACAGUAUGGAGCGUCCUUCUGGACAAUCCAAUAGUGCGUGUAAUCAUACUUCCAAGAAAAUCCGCUAAACUUAAUCCUUACGGUACCCGUACCGCAAACGGACACACGUAGUCGGGUUGAAUAUACUAAGGCGCUUGAGUGAUUCACGGUUAAGGAACUAGGCAAACUGACCCUGUAACUUCGGGAUAAAGGGUCCUCAAGCAAUUGAGGCGCAGAGAAUAGGUCCAGGCAACUGUUUAACAAAAACACAGGGCUGUGCAAAAUUGAAAGAUGAAGUAUACAGCCUGACACCUGCCCGGUGCUGGAAGGUUAAGAGGAGACGUCAUCGCAAGAGAAGCGUUGAAUUGAAGCCCCAGUAAACGGCGGCCGUAACUAUAACGGUCCUAAGGUAGCGAAAUUCCUUGUC
Molecule: ribosomal RNA, 1951 nt
Filed under: human gut metagenome
Description: bacterial LSU rRNA
Rfam family: Bacterial large subunit ribosomal RNA
Source: RNAcentral